Molecule: long non-coding RNA, 3000 nt
Filed under: Lynx pardinus (Iberian lynx)
Lineage: Eukaryota; Metazoa; Chordata; Mammalia; Carnivora; Felidae
Source: RNAcentral
CUGUUUUUAAGGACCUGUGUGCGUACCCACGUAACAUUUCAAAUCCUAGCUGAAAUCAUACUUACUUGUUUUGGUCCGUAAAGGCGUCUUUACGUAUUGCUGGUCAGCUAGCAAUGCUGGACUGAGUUCAUUACAGAGAACGUGUACUUGAAACAGAUCCACAGCAAAGGGCCCGAGUAAUGUUAGCACCAGAUAACAAAGUAUCGAUGAGUAUAGGGCGUCCUUAGAACUCACGAUGCAAGCCUUUAUCUUUGGAACCUCCAAGCUAAGAGAGCUAGAACCAAGAUCAUCUCGAUUUAUUGCUGUGGAAGAACAGAGGGAGAGAGAGUUCCCCAGAUGACAUUGAUUUCUUAGUAGGAGUUGUCCAGUGACCUAGACAAGCGCUUGCAUAAUCCACAGGUGGCCCAGAAAUGUGAUGUGCUGCCCAAGGAAGCCAAAGGGUGGAGGAAGGUAGGUGAACCCAUGUUUCAGGAGCAGACCUUGCCGACCCAACAUCAUAUUCUAGAGAGAGGGGAGGGUAAAUUCUGCAGAAUAUCCAUGCUCUCCUUUUCUGUCUUCUUGUAACUUUUUUUUUUCUCGUGACUUCUUGACUUCAAAGCAGACAACAGCACAUCUUUUUGUUGCCACCUGAUGAAGUUUGCCCUGCACUUAGGCUGUAAUCCUACUCUAAUGUGAGCAUUGCAGUCCUGACGUGGGAAGACUUCUGUCCACGUUAAUCACGCUUUCAAAACAGUAAAAUGGCAGCCUUUGUCCCAAGAAAGGGAGUCUCGUCUUGCCUUUUUUCUUUUCUUUCUCUUUUCUUGUUUUAAAUGUUUGUCGAUUUUCAGAGAGAGAGAGAGAGAGAGAGAGUGCGAGUGCGAGCAGCAGAGGGGCAGAGAGAGGGAGAGAGAAUCCCAAGCAGGCCCCGUGCUGUGGGCGCAGAGCCUGACAUGGCCUCGGUCCCACAAACCAUGAGAUCCAUGACCUGAGCUGAAACCAGGAGUCAGAAGUUUAACCGACUGAGCCCGUCAGGCGCCCCCCCUUUCUUUUUUUUAAGUUGUAUUUCUUGGGGUCUUAGACCCAAUAUAUCCACUGCUAAGAAAAACUGGUUUUAACCGCUUAAAGCUUUCCUAACUCUAGGUGUUGUUGGGCGAGUGUUCUGGCAACGACGUAGUUUGCUAUUGAGAAAUGACUAAGUAAACUAUAUGUCCCUUGCUGUGCCUCUGCCGAGUGCCAUUCAGUCAGCCAGAGCACCGCCCCUGCAUCCUGGUGGCCGUCUUAUCUCCUUUGAGGACGAAUGCUAAAACUACACGAACACUGUGCUUUCCUCCCAAGAGGAUUUUCAUUUUCUUGCAGUUCCCCGUGUUGGUUUUGAAAAGCUGUAUUUUGCGGCUAAGAGAGAAGGAAGUUAGACUGGCCUCCGUUACACACUCUUCAAAGUAACACUUCUCUGACUAAUGCCUCCGUUCUCACAGAGGAGUUCUAGAGAAGUAGGCAUUUUCUGCUGAUGAAAUGGCAGCUGGGGUCAAAGAACAUGGACCUCUCAAGCUGCCCCCUCAUGCCAGCCCUGGUUAUAAGGCUGUCCAUGUGGUGGUGAGAAAGUGCAUUUCCAGCUGGGCUUCUGGAAGCCUCGAGAUGGAGGGUAGUAAUGUGCCCCUGCAGAUCUGACGAAGCUACUCCCAGUGUUUGCUCUUCCUUCUGCCAGUUGCCUUCCUCUGUGCUUGCCAAGUUUCUGCUUCUUCGUGGCUUUGGCCGGCCAUGGCCCUGACUCCACCUCAUGGCAUCCUUUUACCUUCAGCAAAUAGAAAUAUGUCUUGCGCGUUCAGAUUCCCGAGGCAGAUAAAGACCUGGCCGGGGGUCCUAGAGAUGGCUAAUGUGUGAACUGACUGCCCUUUGGCCCAGGGUAGGCACCUGACCCAUUAACUGUGUCCUAGAGGAGAGGGGCAACAUCCAAUUACUCAACGUGACCUUCGCUGUUCAGCAGGGGUGUUGUCACAGGUACCAUGCCGUCUCCAGAACAGGGGAGUUAACGGGAGCUGGUUUUCUCCGUGGGCCCGGGUAGACACUUCAUUUGUAGUCCCGGUAGAAAGGUGAGCGUUACACAUAAUUCGGAUACUUGGCAUUUUUAAUACUGUUUAUCCCCCUGCUGUUGUUAAGGUCAACUGCAGAAUAGGGAGGAGCCCAGUGGAUUUGUUACGAAGACGACUUCGUUCUUUUUUUUUUUUUUUUUUUUCAACGUUUAUUUUAUUUUUGGGACAGAGAGAGACAGAGCAUGAAUGGGGGAGGGGCAGAGAGAGAGGGAGACACAGAAUCGGAAACAGGCUCCAGGCUCUGAGCCAUCAGCCCAGAGCCCGACGCGGGGCUCGAACUCACGGACCGCGAGAUCGUGACCUGGCUGAAGUCGGACGCUUAACCGACUGCGCCACCCAGGCGCCCCACGACUUCGUUCUUAAUCCUCAGAAGUAUUCUUGGAUUUUUGAACAGUUUCAAUUUUAGAUAGUUUUAGCUUUGUCCAUGUUGUGUUCUUUAUAUAACGAUGUGUGUGGGUCUGUAGGCACUUGGAAUUCUCUGUUUUAGGCAUGUGUCUUCAGCAGCCCCUCAUACUUUGGUAACACAGAAAGCGUUGUGUGGAACUUCUCUAAAGUGGAACAAAAAAAUCUAAGUAGAGGGUCUAUGUAUAAUGAUUGUUGGGUGUGUGUUUGUUCAAAGGGUGCAAUUUUUAAACUGAAAAUUUUAAAGGUCUCUGUAGAAUUUUUGGCCAUGUUAUUUAGAACUGGCAACUUCUUACCACGUCCACCAGUUAGUAAGAACUCUUUUUAUGUUUUAUUUUUUCUAUUAUGGUAAAGCCAGAACUGCAGAUUGACUGCCACAGAUUUUUCAAACGUGUGUUAUUUGGCCCGUACAGGUUUGAACACAUUCGAGCCAGCACUGAAAAAUACGGAGAUUUCCACAUAAAUAUUCAGGCUCUUGGAUCCUUAUGAUAAAUGACCUGAUCUGGCAGGCCUGGCUGGGACAUUGUGA